RNAcentral lists this ribosomal RNA (1363 nucleotides) under unidentified marine bacterioplankton. Its description in RNAcentral is "bacterial SSU rRNA". It matches the Rfam family "Bacterial small subunit ribosomal RNA", at positions 9 to 1371 of the family's 1533-position model. The record is from RNAcentral.
GAGUUUGAUCAUGGCUCAGAUUGAACGCUGGCGGCAUGCCUUACACAUGCAAGUCGAACGGCAGCACGGGUGCUUGCACCUGGUGGCGAGUGGCGAACGGGUGAGUAAUACAUCGGAACAUGUCCUGUAGUGGGGGAUAGCCCGGCGAAAGCCGGAUUAAUACCGCAUACGAUCUACGGAUGAAAGCGGGGGACCUUCGGGCCUCGCGCUAUAGGGUUGGCCGAUGGCUGAUUAGCUAGUUGGUGGGGUAAAGGCCUACCAAGGCGACGAUCAGUAGCUGGUCUGAGAGGACGACCAGCCACACUGGGACUGAGACACGGCCCAGACUCCUACGGGAGGCAGCAGUGGGGAAUUUUGGACAAUGGGCGAAAGCCUGAUCCAGCAAUGCCGCGUGUGUGAAGAAGGCCUUCGGGUUGUAAAGCACUUUUGUCCGGAAAGAAAUCCUUGGCUCUAAUACAGUCGGGGGAUGACGGUACCGGAAGAAUAAGCACCGGCUAACUACGUGCCAGCAGCCGCGGUAAUACGUAGGGUGCGAGCGUUAAUCGGAAUUACUGGGCGUAAAGCGUGCGCAGGCGGUUUGCUAAGACCGAUGUGAAAUCCCCGGGCUCAACCUGGGAACUGCAUUGGUGACUGGCAGGCUAGAGUAUGGCAGAGGGGGGUAGAAUUCCACGUGUAGCAGUGAAAUGCGUAGAGAUGUGGAGGAAUACCGAUGGCGAAGGCAGCCCCCUGGGCCAAUACUGACGCUCAUGCACGAAAGCGUGGGGAGCAAACAGGAUUAGAUACCCUGGUAGUCCACGCCCUAAACGAUGUCAACUAGUUGUUGGGGAUUCAUUUCCUUAGUAACGUAGCUAACGCGUGAAGUUGACCGCCUGGGGAGUACGGUCGCAAGAUUAAAACUCAAAGGAAUUGACGGGGACCCGCACAAGCGGUGGAUGAUGUGGAUUAAUUCGAUGCAACGCGAAAAACCUUACCUACCCUUGACAUGGUCGGAAUCCCGCUGAGAGGUGGGAGUGCUCGAAAGAGAACCGGCGCACAGGUGCUGCAUGGCUGUCGUCAGCUCGUGUCGUGAGAUGCUGGGUUAAGUCCCGCAACGAGCGCAACCCUUGUCCUUAGUUGCUACGCAAGAGCACUCUAAGGAGACUGCCGGUGACAAACCGGAGGAAGGUGGGGAUGACGUCAAGUCCUCAUGGCCCUUAUGGGUAGGGCUUCACACGUCAUACAAUGGUCGGAACAGAGGGUUGCCAACCCGCGAGGGGGAGCUAAUCCCAGAAAACCGAUCGUAGUCCGGAUUGCACUCUGCAACUCGAGUGCAUGAAGCUGGAAUCGCUAGUAAUCGCGGAUCAGCAUGCCGCGGUGAAUACGU